Molecule: ribosomal RNA, 399 nt
Filed under: Bradinopyga cornuta
Lineage: Eukaryota; Metazoa; Arthropoda; Insecta; Odonata; Libellulidae
Description: partial 12S ribosomal RNA
Source: RNAcentral
AUAUAUAUGUUCUUGAAACCCAAAGAAUUUGGCGGUAUUUUAUUUCUGUUUAGAGGAACCUGCCCUGUAAUUGAUAUUCCACGAUGGGUAAUUACUUACUUUUGUUUAACAUUUUGUAUACCUCCGUCAUCAGAGUAUCUUUUUAGAGUAAAUAUUCUAAUUAUACAAAAUAUAAUAUGUCAGGUCAAGGUGCAAUUUAUGAGUAAGUAGAGGUGGGUUACAAUAAAUUUAUUUAUACGGAUUUUUAUUAUUAUUAUUAGAAUGAAGGUGGAUUUAAAAGUAAAAUUAUUUCCUUAAUUAUUUGAUUUUAGCUCUAAAAUAUGCACACAUCGCCCGUCGCUCUUAUUAUAAAUAAGAUAAGUCGUAACAUAGUAGGGGUACCGGAAGGUGUUCCUAGAA